Long non-coding RNA from Alosa sapidissima (American shad), 1615 nucleotides. RefSeq lists it as uncharacterized. The record is from RefSeq and is a predicted model, not a curated record. The transcript has 4 exons. Lineage: Eukaryota; Metazoa; Chordata; Actinopteri; Clupeiformes; Clupeidae.
AGCAGACGAGCGACCAGGAAAAUUAUAUGAAAUUGGAUUUGUUUUGUUUAAAUGGAAAAGUUGUGUUAUUUCGUCUGGGACAUAGACAGGAAGUGACAUCAACGGGUCAAAACUAAAAAUAUGUCGCAGGACAGACUGUCUGAGAUGUCCAGAACCUGGCUCGGGAGGGAUGCCUGAGCACAGGUUGUCUGUGUCUUCGCCUGACGAAUGCCGGUGAGACAUCUCUCGGACUGGGAGCACGCACUGGCGAGCUUGAUGACUCUUAAAGAUAUUCCACAGAGGACAAUGGCAUCUCGAUGGUCCAGUGACUUCUAAAAAGCCAUGUAGUCUUGUGUUGUCCAGAGGGGUCUGACCGAGAGGUGAUCAAUUUAAAGGCAGCUCAACAUGAUGAAGAGAAGAUACAACAUACUAGUGCAUAGCAUAAACUGCUCAUGCACAUAACAAUCUUGCAAGAUCAAGUAAGAAGGACUUGUAUUUACCUCUCUCUCUCUCUGCCUGUCUCUCUCUCUCUUUUCUCUUUCUCUCACUCUUUAUGUAUACAGUAUAUAUCUUAAAAUAUGUGCUUUGAGAUCGAUGGAUGCCAUUUUAACUCCAGUACAAUCUGGCGCAAUGUCCUGCGGAAUACUUCCUGUACCUCAUGAUAGUUUAGUAUAAGGCCACAUUUGAGUGUGACUACUUCUUUCUCUGUUGUCUUCGGUGAGGAAUGGACAGAUGCGCUGUCACCUAAACAUAUGAAUGAUGCACGUCUUGGUCAUAUGGUACAGAUUUACCAAAGGUAGCAGUGAUACUCGACCCUCAAUGUCGUUUUGACCUUUGUGGAUGAUGUAUGUGCCGCAUUUUAGAUAUUAAAACAGCAACACUCAUAUAUACUAUAUUGUCAUUCUGACAUAUUUGUCUGUCUAAUUACAUUUUUCAGUAUUGCUGUCCAUGUCCGUUUGAAUAUCAGAGAGCCUGUAAGAGAACAAGUGUAUGAUGUCCGCACUUCAUCAUAUCAUAAUCCAUCAUUAAAAGCUAAAGAAGAAUUGACUUGUCGCUUGUGUGGAAUACCCUGACUAGAAAUGUGACCACAGUAUGUACUGCUGUUACAACACACUACUACUUGGCAAGGGGCUAUUUUAGUCAUCUUGACUUUAUGGACAUACUCUGUGCUUGUGACUGUAUUUUACCCAUGUUUUGCAGCGCGGUAAUGUAACAAGCAAUGGUGUUUGUACAAACAGAAAACACAAUGAAACUACAUUUUUAUUGAUAUUUUGGGUAGGUUAAGAUAGGUGACAAUUCCAAUGUGGCGUUUGUGUAUUUUCUCUGUUGUGGUGUGAAAUAUCUGUUUCAAUGUGCAAGCUGUUCUGCAGAAUAUGUUCUUGAAAAAAUUGCAUCAGUACAUGGUUGCAUAAUAAUUAAGAUUUUGUCCAUGGUAGAUGUCAUUCUGUUUGUAAACUAUGGUUUAUAAUGUACCGGUAUGUUAUUUAUAUAAAGGAUGUUAACCUGUGUAAGUAGUUGCAAGCUAGAGUUUCUAAUUUGUUCAUGAAAAUUGUGUUCCCUGCUCUGCAUUUCAUUAAAAUGCAGUAUUCCACAUUUUAAAUUGUUGUCUUUGACACCAAACCAAACAAAGUGAAUA